ACUCAGUGUAAUAGACUAUUCGCUGAGGACGCUUCCCUUGGGAAGUGGCCGAGUUUUGUAAAGUAGAAGCUUCUAACCUAUUAGUCAACUUUAGAUUAGACCUCAGAUCAGGCAGGAUUACCCGCUGAACUUAAGCAUAUCAAUAAGCGGAGGAAAAGAAACUAACAAGGAUUCCCCUAGUAACGGCGAGUGAAGCGGGAAAAGCUCAAAUUUGUAAUCUGGCACUUUCAGUGUCCGAGUUGUAAUCUCGAGAAGUGUUUUCCGCGCCGGACUGCAUACAAGUCUGUUGGAAUACAGCGUCAUAGUGGUGAGAACCCCGUAACUGAUGCAGAUGCCCGGUGCUUUGUGAUACACUUUCGAAGAGUCGAGUUGUUUGGGAAUGCAGCUCAAAUUGGGUGGUAAAUUCCAUCUAAAGCUAAAUAUUGGCGAGAGACCGAUAGCGAACAAGUACCGUGAGGGAAAGAUGAAAAGCACUUUGGAAAGAGAGUUAACAGUACGUGAAAUUGUUGGAAGGGAAACGAUUGAAGUCAGACUUGCUAUUUGGAGUUCAGCCGCAAGGUGUAUUCUUCAAUUUGCAGGCCAGCAUCAGUUUUCGGGGGUGGAAAAUCGUGAGUUGAAGGUAGCAGCCUAGCUGUGUUAUAGCUUCUUACUGGAUUCACCUUUGGGGACUGAGGAACGCAGUGUGCUUUUAGCAAUACCUUCGGGUAUUUCACACUUAGGAUGCUGGUGGAAUGGCUUUAAACGACCCGUCUUGAAACACGGA
Molecule: ribosomal RNA, 763 nt
Filed under: Pseudoleucosporidium fasciculatum
Lineage: Eukaryota; Fungi; Basidiomycota; Microbotryomycetes
Description: LSU rRNA
Rfam family: Eukaryotic large subunit ribosomal RNA (bases 98-763)
Source: RNAcentral